This 292-nucleotide small nuclear RNA is filed under the name Anolis carolinensis (green anole). Its description in RNAcentral is "7SK RNA". It matches the Rfam family "7SK RNA". From Rfam's summary of the family: 7SK was discovered as an abundant small nuclear RNA in the mid-70s but a possible function has only recently been suggested. Two independent studies have found that 7SK RNA binds the CDK9/cyclin T complex (known as elongation factor P-TEFb). P-TEFb activates transcription by phosphorylating the C-terminal domain of RNA polymerase II. The record is from Rfam by way of RNAcentral. Lineage: Eukaryota; Metazoa; Chordata; Lepidosauria; Squamata; Anolidae.
GGAUGUGAGGGCCAUCUGGCUGCAACAUCUGUCACCCCAUUGAUCGCCAGGGUUGAUUCAGAUGAUCUGGCUGGCUAGGCGGGUGUCCCCUUCCUCCCUCACUGCUCCUGAAGCUGUGUGCUCGGUGGAAGAGGAUGACGUCCCAGGUAUAGAAGGAGUGUACCGAAGUCUCCAGUCUUCGGUCCGGGUAUACGAUAGCUGUGCUCCCCUGCUAGAACCUCCAAACAAGCAGUAAUGCUAUGUAGUAAUUACUAUAUUUACAAAUUUACCACCAAAAUAUCACAAUGAAUUU